GACGAACGCUGGCGGCGUGCCUAAUACAUGCAAGUCGAACGCAUUUUCUUUCACCGUAGCUUGCUACACCGAAAGAAAAUGAGUGGCGAACGGGUGAGUAACACGUGGGUAACCUGCCCAUCAGCGGGGGAUAACACUUGGAAACAGGUGCUAAUACCGCAUAAUUCCAUUUACCGCAUGGUAGAUGGGUGAAAGGCGCUUUUGCGUCACUGAUGGAUGGACCCGCGGUGCAUUAGCUAGUUGGUGGGGUAACGGCCUACCAAGGCUGCGAUGCAUAGCCGACCUGAGAGGGUGAUCGGCCACACUGGGACUGAGACACGGCCCAGACUCCUACGGGAGGCAGCAGUAGGGAAUCUUCGGCAAUGGACGCAAGUCUGACCGAGCAACGCCGCGUGAGUGAAGAAGGUUUUCGGAUCGUAAAACUCUGUUGUUAGAGAAGAACAAGGAUGAGAGUGGAAAGUUCAUCCCUUGACGGCAUCUAACCAGAAAGCCACGGCUAACUACGUG
RNAcentral lists this ribosomal RNA (507 nucleotides) under uncultured bacterium. RNAcentral's name for it is "partial 16S ribosomal RNA". It matches the Rfam family "Bacterial small subunit ribosomal RNA", at positions 28 to 507 of the family's 1533-position model. The record is from RNAcentral.